UAAUUUAAAGUCUAGCCUGCCCAAUGAUAAUUGAAUGGCCGCGGUAUUUUGACCGUGCUAAGGUAGCAUAAUCAAUAGUUUUUUAAUUGAAAGCUGGAAUGAAGGGUUGGAUAAAAAAAUAACUGUUUCUAUUUAAUUUAAUUAGAAUUUUAUAUUUAAGUUAAAAAGCUUAAAUUUUGUUAAAAGACGAGAAGACCCUAUAGAGUUUAAUAAAUAAUUAUAUUAUUAUAUUUAGAAUUAAUUUUAUUAAUUAUAUUAUUUAUUUAAUUGGGGUGAUUAAAAAAUUCAAAUAACUUUUUUUAUAUUAUAACAUUUAUAGGUGAAUAUUUGAUCCAUGGUUAAUGAUUAAAAGAUAAAAUUACCUUAGGGAUAACAGCGUUAUUUUUUUUUAGAGUUCAAAUCGAAAGAAAAGAUUGCGACCUCGAUGUUGGAUUAAAAUAAAUUUUUGGUGUAGAAGCUAAAAUAUUAGGUCUGUUCGACCUUUAAAAUUUUACAU
Molecule: ribosomal RNA, 496 nt
Filed under: Chrysomela lapponica
Lineage: Eukaryota; Metazoa; Arthropoda; Insecta; Coleoptera; Chrysomelidae
Description: partial 16S ribosomal RNA
Rfam family: Bacterial large subunit ribosomal RNA
Source: RNAcentral